CAAAGGCAGAGGUGGAGCCAUUCGUUCCAAAACUAGCCAAUAUGUGUUGGCAUUUGAUGAGACUAGUGACAUAAAUAUAAGGAGAGAGUGUAUCCUUAGAUCCAUCAUUCUCUACCUUGGUGAGGAUGACAAAAACCUGAUAAAAGACUACAUGGAUAUACAAGAUGAGCAGGAAUCAGAUGACCUCUCUAAACAGACAAUGGCUAUCUUUGUGAAACGAAAACCAUGUGAGAGACCCGUUGAAAUGCCAGAUCGUCA
Molecule: non-coding RNA, 258 nt
Organism: Paramisgurnus dabryanus
Lineage: Eukaryota; Metazoa; Chordata; Actinopteri; Cypriniformes; Cobitidae
Source: RefSeq, a predicted model, not a curated record